This 235-nucleotide ribosomal RNA is filed under the name uncultured bacterium. RNAcentral's name for it is "partial 16S ribosomal RNA". It matches the Rfam family "Bacterial small subunit ribosomal RNA", at positions 118 to 347 of the family's 1533-position model. The record is from RNAcentral.
UGAGUAACCUGCCCUUAACUCUGGGAUAAGCCUGGGAAACUGGAUCUAAUACCGGAUAUGACUCCUCAUCGCAUGGUGGGGGGUGGAAAGCUUUAUUGUGGUUUUGGAUGGACUCGCGGCCUAUCAGCUAGUUGGUGUGGGUAAUGGCCCACCAAGGCGACGACGGGUAGCCGGCCUGAGAGGGUGACCGGCCACACUGGGACUGAGACACGGCCCAGACUCCGUACGGGAGCAG